Non-coding RNA from Rattus norvegicus (Norway rat), 6139 nucleotides. The record is from RefSeq and is a predicted model, not a curated record. Lineage: Eukaryota; Metazoa; Chordata; Mammalia; Rodentia; Muridae.
AUACAGUCGCCUUGUUUAUUGCUUGUGUGAAUGGGGAUUUAUAGUGUUUCCUUGACACAUGAUCUCAGGUUUACAAAGAUUCCUUGUAAAAGUUGUUUGGGGGCUUUAAUAGCCUUACCUUUGUUUUGUUUUGUUUUUCUUUCCUGACACUAGUUUCUCUAUAAUAGAACUUGCUUUGUAUGCCAGGCCAGCCUUGAACCAGAGAGAUCACCUGCCUCUGCCUGCUGAAUGCUGGAAAUAAGGCCUACUGCACCACCUUUUAAAGAGUAGUCAGAAGGAAGCUAACCCAAGACCCUUCACAUAGUCACUGUGUUAGACUGUGCUGUGUAUGGUGUAUGUCAGCCUUAGGUCACUGUGUUAGACUGUUGCUGUGUAUGGUGUAUGUCAGCUGUAGGUCACUGUGUUAGACUGUUGCUGUGUAUGGUGUAUGUCAGCUGUGGGUCACUGUGUUAGACUGUUGCUGUGUAUGGUGUAUCUCAGCUGUGGGUCACUGUGUUAGACUGUGCUGUGUACUGUGUAUCUCAGCUGUGGGUCACUGUGUUAGACUGUGCUGUGUAUGGUGUAUGUCAGCUGUGGUCCAGUUAUAUCCAUGUUCAUGGGAGGAGGGAAGUAUGCCUCAGGAGUAGGAAACUUUUAGAGCCAUUUGGGAUUCACACUCUAUGUCUACCUACUAAGAAUUUUCCUUUUGCCUGUAUGAAGGGGAGAAUAAUGAUAAGACAGCUUUCCCAAAGUCUACUUUAAAUGUCAGUGGUAGAGGCCUACAAGAUGGCUCAGGGGGUAAAAGUACUUUAAUUUUACCUCAGCCCUGAGGUACUGAGUUCAAAUCCUAGAACCCAUGUAAUAGCUGGACAGGAAGCAGAGAGUCUGGAGUAGCAGCAUCCUACAGGGACAUGGUGGAGAGAGACAAAGGAAUCCUGACACUCAGAGGCCAGCUGCAGAGUGGAAAAACAACACAGGACAUCUUGUCUCAAAUGAGGUAGAAAGUAAAGACUGACACCUAAGGUCAUCAUGCACGUGCCCACUUUAACCAACACACGAACGUGCAUGCAUCAUACACAGAACAAGGUCAGUGGUAGAAUUGUUUUAGGGAUCAUGAGUUUGGUGUAUAUGACAGGCUAUAUGAAAUAAAGUGUAACAUCUGAUUCAUAAUGCCCCAGAACAAUGGGGUGCUACAUGCUGGAUAAUGCCAUCUAAGUUUAUAGAGAGUGUUCUAGGGCCUGCUAAUGCUCUGGCCUCUCUGAUCUGGGUUCUGAGAAUAGUUACUCAGUAAUGUACACUCAGAGGUCGCUCUCCAGUGUGGCUGCUGGCUCUCCUUCACUGGCAUGAAGGGACAUUGAAAGUAGUAAGAGAGGGACUGAUCUGAGGAGGGGAAAAGCCAAGGAAGGACAACUAUUUAAAAUGAUGGAUGAGUCAGUGCAAUUAGGUCUAUCGUUGUGUGAGGUGACUGGGGCAGGUGAGUGGGAUUGAUUCUGUGCUGCCCAAGAUACACAUCCUGUGAGAUAAAAGGCAUUUUUUGUGUGUGUGUUUUUUUUUUUUCUUUUCUAUUUUUCGGAGCUGGGGACCGAACCCAGGGCCUUGCGCCUGAUAGGCAAGCGCUCUACCACUGAGCUAAAUCCCCAACCCGCUUUAUGUGCUUUGUGUGAUACAGGCUUAUCUCUGCAUGACCUGAGGGUUCAACCCAUAUGGGUCUCUAGUUGUACUUCUGAGUAUCGCCUUAAAAAACAAAACUUAAGGUUGAACAUGCUAAAUUUCCCAACUUUGGUACAUGACUUUAUUUUGUAUUACAUUUUCCUUACUUUUCAUGUGUGUGUAUAGGCCAAAAGACAGCUUGUUGGAGUCUGUUCUCUCCUUCCACUGUAUGGUCCCAGAGGUCUUCAGGUAUGGCGGCAAUCACUCCAACCCGCUGAACAUCCUCGCCAGCCCGAGUAACGGCUCUCUGUUGGGAAAACUUUCGAUCUGUUGUGUACUUUCAUGUGUCAUUGAGCUUCUGUGCAGGGGACAGGGAGGAAGAGUAGUUGUGGAGGGCAGGGGCGGAGGGAGGGUGUGCCUCCGCUGCAGAAGACGCCACCAUCCCCAUGCUGCAGGCCGAAUUUUACUUCACGGGCGAGAGCGAGGCCGCUUUGCGCUGCCGUAAACUGCCGUAACGCGCGGCUGGCCCCGCCCCCGGCGCUCCUCCUGUGACGCAGGCGCCCAGAGCUAUUUGGGCGGGAAAAGGCGGCGGGCCGGCGGAGAGGCUGUGGGUAAAGCUUCGCGGGGUUUGCGGAGCAGCCUCUUCCCCGGGAUGGGGCUGCUGGAGCUGUGCGAGCAGGUGUUUGGCACCGCCGACCUCUACCAGGUGCUGGGCGUGCGGCGCGAGGCUUCCGACGGCGAAGUCCGACGCGGCUACCACAAGGUGUCCCUGCAAGUGCACCCCGACAGAGUAAAGGAGGACCAGAAAGAGGACGCCACCCGCCGCUUCCAGAUCUUGGGGAGAGUGUACGCGGUUCUGAGUGACAAGGAGCAGAAAGCAGUGUACGAUGAACAGGGGACAGUGGACGAAGACUCUGCUGGCCUCCACCAAGACCGAGACUGGGAUGCGUAUUGGAGAUUACUCUUUAAAAAGAUAUCGCUAGAAGAUAUCCAAGCUUUUGAAAAGACAUACAAAGGCUCCGAAGAAGAGCUAAACGAUAUUAAGCAAGCCUAUCUGGACUUCAAGGGCGACAUGGAUCAGAUCAUGGAGUCUGUGCUUUGUGUACAAUACACAGAUGAACCCAGGAUAAGAAACAUCAUUCAAAAAGCUAUUGAUGCCAAAGAGGUUCCGUCCUACAAUGCCUUCGUUAAAGAGUCUAAACAGAAGAUGAACGCAAGGAAAAGAAGGGCUCAGGAAGAAGCCAAAGAAGCAGAGCUGAGCAGGAAGGAGCUGGGGCUGGAAGGAGGAGUGGAUAGCCUGAAAGCGCUCAUCCAGGUUCCAAGGACUGCCCUCAGUCACCAAGCCCUCUCAUGGCCUGUUUAUCCACUUCCGAGUGACCUUCUGUAAAUAGUGGGAUGUUAGUUCCAGCCUGACUCUUUUCUGUGUGGGUCCACUUGCUCUGCGGCAUUUAUUGGUAAGAUGUCGCCUCGCUGACUAAUCUCAGCAGCCCUGUUGGAAUCGUUAGAUGUAAAUGCUCAGGCUUAUUUGUUUUCACUACACUGACAUAUAUGUCCUCUGCUAGUCUUUUUUUUUUUUUUUUGGUUCUUUUUUUUUUCGGAGCUGGGGACUGAACCCAGGGCCUUGCGCUUCCUAGGCAAGCGCUCUACCACUGAGCUAAAUCCCCAACCCCGUCCUCUGCUAGUCUUAAAGAAGUAUUUUAAAGUCAAAAACUGAGUUCUCUAACUUCAUUUUUCAAUACUGUUUUAGCUGCGGAGGGUCCCUUGCAGGUCCAGAAGAUGGUCGGGUCUGUUGGCCCGUUUCUCAAAAAUGCAUGAGUUUGUUCUGUGUUGGUGGCUUCUGAAUGUGAGAGUCAAGCAGUCUAUCAUGUUCUGUAUGACCAUAUUCCAGCUCGGGCAGCUGGGACUGUGACAGGAACCACAUUUGACCUACAGAUGUAUUUGGAAGUCCUGUCACCUUAACAAUGUGAUGCCUUCCAACCACGGACAUAGGCCAACCUCCCAUGCUUCUUUAGGUUUGUGCUUCUGAAAUAUCAUAUGGUGGUGUUUGUUUGGGUACAUAACUCUUCCCUUCCUAGAGUUAAUUUUAUCCCUAAUCAUCUUUAGUAGACAAGAAAACUGGCAGUAUAAAAGCAAAAGGAGGAUAAUUAGAGAUAUAAAGAUAUUAUUUGUUUUUAUUUUAUGUGUCCAUGUACAAUGUACAUGCAGUGCCUGUGAAUCCAGAAGGGGGCGUGUGAUCCCUCUGAAACUGAUGUCAUAAAUAAGUGAACUGUGUAAUUCUGGUUUGACUGGCUGACUUUGAAAAAUAAAGUUGCCAUGAAAACCACCAUCAUAAGGAUUUGUUCACAAUCCUUGUGUACACAGAGACAGAAGUGGACACUUUUCUAGCUUAGCUUUCACAUGAAAACGUAUUAUUGGCCAAUACCUUGACCUCAGUCUUGUGAGACCGUAGGCAAAGGACUCAUUAAGUUGUUCUAGGCUUUCUAAUCCAUAAACGUGUGAGAUAAUAGGAUGCGUUGAUUAAAACUGUGAGAUCUGGAAUAAUUUGAGUGGUAAAGAUAAACAUAAAAUAUAACAAAGUAUUUAUGUAUCUAUGAAUAUAACCCAGUCAUCUAGUACUAGUAAUCUGCCUAGAGAAACAGAAAUAUGUUCCCCUAAAUUCUUGCACAGUAGUAUUUGUACCAGCUAAAGUGGAAAGCAAUUCAAAUGUCCAUCAAUAGGUAAACUGAUAAAAUGUGGCUUCAUGAAAUAAUACCCAGCAAUAAAAGGAGUUACAGAUGCACAAAGCGAGGCAGCUAAGUCUCAGAUCAUCAUCCUGAGAUGGAAGAACCCGCCAGAGAAGUCACCUGCUUUUUGUCAUUGCAAGUUGUCAGCUUCAGAUGUUGGGAAUGGAGUUAGCGGAUAGAUGCCCUGUCUUAGUUAAGGUUUUAUUGCUGUGAAGUGACACCAUGACCACAGCAACUCUAACAGGAACAUAUUUAACUGGGGCUGUCUUACAGGUCAGAGGUGGGCAGCACAGCAGUGUGCAGGCAGGCAUAGCGCUGAAGAAGUAGCUGAGAGAUCUACAUCUGGAUGGGCAGGCGGCAGGGAAAGAAUGUUGCACUGGGCCUGACUCUGAGCAUUUGAGACUCCAAAGCCCACCCCAGUGACACAUUUCCUCCAACAAUGCCACAUAUAUUCCAAGGCCACAAGCCCUAAUCCUUUCAAACAAUGCCACUCACUCAGAGCUGUUUUCAUCCACACUACCAUAUACUCUCUGGCUUCUCUCAGCAGAAACAUCUUCUGGGAACAGACACAACAUACAGUGACAGGAAGCAGGGGCUUACAGAGGACAUGAACAUCUGGGAGUGAUGGAUGGCCACUGUACUGACUGCAGUGAGGGCUUCACAGGUGCACACUACAUAGAUGAGGACUUACCAAGCUUUAUACUUCAUGUGUGUGAAGUGUCUUGUGUGUUAAUCACUCUCACUGAGACAGUGUGAGAAGCAUGCACCAUUUACAUGGUCUCCUCACAGAUGUGCUGGAGGAGAGUCCAAACCCUCACGGCCACAGGUGAGGCCUCAUCACUCCUCCACCCAGUCUCAAGUAUUUACUAAGUUCUUUGCUAGUUUCUGUGAGAAACACCAACAGUAAUCAGGCUUUAAUAAUAUAAAGCAAACGUAUUUGGUCUCUACCUAGGUUCUGGUACAUAGCUCCUAAAACCCUUAGAGUAGUCAAAGCAAUAGUAUCUUUCUGUGUCCUGAAGACAUGGAUGGUGGCUGGGAGAGUCAGAAGAGUUUCAGGAUAGGGGCAAGGGAGGGUUAGUUGACAGGGCAACCAACCAUGUUAUCAGCUUUGGAACUUUUAGUCCUAGUCCCCUGACUUGUGAAGGGUGAAUUGAUCAAUGGCCAAUUAUUUGAUCAUCAUGCUUACAUAGUGAGGAUUCUAAAACCCAAGUAAGGGCCUUGUUCAGAGGAGUUUCCAGUCUGCUCACCACUCGAGGUACUUGGAGAGUGGCAUGGAUACCCACUUCGGUCCCCCUACACUGUCCUCUGCAUUUCUUAUCUAGCUGUUCAUCUGUACGCUUUGUGCUAUUCUUUACAAGCUAUGCUUCUGAGUUCUGUGCACCACUCUACCAAAUUGAUCAAACCUAAGGAAGGCUGUCCCAUGAAUUCUAAGUUUUGACUAGAAGCACAGAUCAUAGCCUGAGGCUUGAAAGUGUCACAUGAGGUAUGAGGUGGGACAGAUAGGCUGUGGACUGAACCCUUUGAAUCUACAGCUAUCUUCCAUGCAUAUGAGACCAGAACCAUAGGAUACUCGGAUGGUGUAUGAGAAUCUGCUAAACGGAGCUGUCUGCUGGCUGUAGGACUCUGAGUCCAUGAGUGAGCGAGCACAGGAGUGAAGAUGUCUGUAGAAGACACCGCAGGAGGAAGAGAGGUCUACAAUCAUAUGACACAAUCGCCAGAUGCAACCCCCCGGCCUACACAGUGCCGGCACUUCCAGAUAUGCUGUUAGAAUACUGGUCCUGGAAAUA